UGGGGAAUAUUGGACAAUGGGCGCAAGCCUGAUCCAGCCAUGCCGCGUGAGUGACGAAGGUCUUCGGAUUGUAAAGCUCUUUUGCCAGGGACGAUAAUGACGGUACCUGGAGAAUAAGCCCCGGCAAACUUCGUGCCAGCAGCCGCGGUAAUACGAAGGGGGCUAGCGUUGUUCGGAAUUACUGGGCGUAAAGCGCACGUAGGCGGAUUGUUAAGUCAGAGGUGAAAUCCCGGAGCUCAACUUCGGAACUGCCUUUGAUACUGGCAAUCUAGAGUCCGGAAGAGGUUAGUGGAAUUCCCAGUGUAGAGGUGAAAUUCGUAGAUAUUGGGAAGAACACCAGUGGCGAAGGCGGCUAACUGGUCCGGUACUGACGCUGAGGUGCGAAAGCGUGGGAGCAAACAGGAUUAGAUACCCCAGUAGUCCCUGAG
This 428-nucleotide ribosomal RNA is filed under the name uncultured bacterium. RNAcentral describes it as "bacterial SSU rRNA". It matches the Rfam family "Bacterial small subunit ribosomal RNA", at positions 355 to 801 of the family's 1533-position model. The record is from RNAcentral.